AACGAACGCUGGCGGCAGGCUUAACACAUGCAAGUCGAGCGGGCUCUUCGGAGCUAGUGGCAGACGGGUGAGUAACGCGUGGGAACCUACCUAUAAGUACGGAACAACACAGAGAAAUUUGUGCUAAUACCGUAUGUGCUCUUUGGAGUAAAGAUUUAUCGCUUAUAGAUGGGCCCGCGUUAGAUUAGCUAGUUGGUGAGGUAAUGGCUCACCAAGGCGACGAUCUAUAGCUGGUCUGAGAGGAUGAUCAGCCACACUGGGACUGAGACACGGCCCAG
Molecule: ribosomal RNA, 278 nt
Filed under: uncultured Cohaesibacter sp.
Lineage: Bacteria; Pseudomonadati; Pseudomonadota; Alphaproteobacteria; Hyphomicrobiales; Cohaesibacteraceae
Description: partial 16S ribosomal RNA
Rfam family: Bacterial small subunit ribosomal RNA
Source: RNAcentral